UGAACGCUGGCGGCGUGGAUAAGGCAUGCAAGUCAAUGGGGCUCUUCGGAGCAACCGGCAAACGAUGUAGUAACAUGUAGGAACGUACCCCAUAGUCAGGAAUAGCCGGCCGAAAGGUCGGGUAAUACUUGAUAUCCCGAAAGGGGAAAGAUGUAUCGCUAUGGGAGCGGNCUGCAUCGUAUCAGCUUGUUGGUAAGGUAAUGGCUUACCAAGGCAAUGACGCGUAGGGGAGGUGAGAGCCUGACCCCCACCGAUGGGACUGAGACACGGCCCAUACUCCUACGGGAGGCUGCAGCCGAGAAUAUUCCGCAAUGGGCGAAAGCCUGACGGAGCGACGCCGCGUGCAGGAUGACGGUCUUCGGAUUGUAAACCGCUUUUAUGAGGGAAGAAGUAAUUGACAUUACCUCAUGAAUAAGAGGCUCCUAAUUCCGUGCCAGCAGGAGCGGUCAUACGGAAGCCUCGAGCGUUACCCGGAAUCACUGGGCGUAAAGAGUGUGUAGGUGGUGGUGUUAGUCUUCUGUUAAAGAUCGGGGCUCAACCUCGGGACUGCGGAAGAAACGGCAUUACUAGAGGGUGAGAGAGGUGUACGGAACUCAUGGUGUAGGGGUGAAAUCCGUUGAUAUCAUGAGGAACACCAAAGGCGAAGGCAGUACACUGGCUCAUUCCUGACACUGAGACACGAAAGCGUGGGUAGCGAACGGGAUUAGAUACCCCGGUAGUCCACGCCCUAAACGUUCCUCACUAGCCCUGGGAAGUAUCGACCCUUUCCGAGGCGAAGCUAACGCGUUAAGUGAGGCGCCUGGGUAGUACGAGCGCAAGCUUAAAACUCAAAGGAAUAGACGGGGACUCACACAAGCGGUGGAGCGUGUGGCUUAAUUCGUCGUUAACCGAAGAACCUCACCAAGGCUUGAAACCUACGGGAACAUGCGUAGAAAUAUGUAUGGCCUUCGGGCUCGUAGGCAGGUGAUGCAUGGCCGUCGUCAGUUCGUGGCUUGAGUUGUAUGGUUAAGUCCAGUAACGAACGAAACCCCUAUUGCCUGUUACAAGUGUCAGGCGAGACUGCCCUUUUUGGGAGGAAGGUGGGGAUGAUGCCAGGUCCGUAUUUCCCUCUGAUGCAUUGGGCUGCACACGCGCUACAAUGGGUGCUACAAAGAGCUGCCACGGAGUAAUCCGGCGCUAAUCUCUAAAAGCAUCCUCAGUUCGGAUUGUGGGCUGAAACUCGCCCACAUGAAGUCGGAAUCGCUAGUAAUCGCAGGUCAGCUAAACUGCGGUGAUACGUUCUCGAGUCUUGUACUCACCGCCAGUCAACACAAGGGAGCUGGGAGUACCCGACGUCCCGAUUUAUUCGGGCAUACGGU
RNAcentral lists this ribosomal RNA (1358 nucleotides) under uncultured organism. Its description in RNAcentral is "bacterial SSU rRNA". It matches the Rfam family "Bacterial small subunit ribosomal RNA". The record is from RNAcentral.